AACGCACCUUGCGCCCCUUGGUAUUCCGAGGGGCAUGCCUGUUUGAGUGUCAUUUUAUCAUCAACUCAUUAGUCUUUGAUUAGGCUUUUGGGCUUGGACUUGGGAAUUGCUGGCUUGAUCUUUACUCAUUGAAAAGUAUCUAAUACUUAAUAGAGGGUAGAAGUGUAGUCGGCUGUCCUUAAAUGCAUUAGCGAGUGUUAGUCUACAUGGCACGGCCUCUUGACGUGAUAAUGAUCGUCGUGGGCUGGAAGUGUAGUGUCUGGCUUCUAAUCAUUGAUUGCGUGCAUACGGCCCAUAAAGCUGGAAGCGCAACAAACCACGACUUACGUGCAAGCGUAGUUCGAAAUUGACAUUUGACCUCAAAUCAGGUAGGACUACCCGCUGAACUUAA
RNAcentral lists this unclassified non-coding RNA (391 nucleotides) under Hebeloma sp. RNAcentral's name for it is "partial contains 5.8S ribosomal RNA, internal transcribed spacer 2, and large subunit ribosomal RNA". The stretch from base 1 to 52 matches the Rfam family "5.8S ribosomal RNA", at positions 103 to 154 of the family's 154-position model. The record is from RNAcentral. Lineage: Eukaryota; Fungi; Basidiomycota; Agaricomycetes; Agaricales; Hymenogastraceae.